Molecule: ribosomal RNA, 359 nt
Filed under: uncultured bacterium
Lineage: Bacteria
Description: bacterial SSU rRNA
Rfam family: Bacterial small subunit ribosomal RNA
Source: RNAcentral
AACGAACGCUGGCGGCAGGCCUAACACAUGCAAGUCGAACGCCGUAGCAAUACGGAGUGGCAGACGGGUGAGUAACACGUGGGAACGUACCCUUCGGUUCGGAAUAACUCAGGGAAACUUGAGCUAAUACCGGAUACGUCCGAGAGGAGAAAGAUUUAUCGCCGAGGGAUCGGGCCCGNGUCUGAUUAGCUUUGUUGGUGAGGUAACGGCUCACCAAGGCGACGAUCAGUAGCUGGUCGAGAGGAUGAUCAGCCACAUUGGGACUGAGACACGGCCCAAACUCCUACGGGAGGCAGCAGGUGGGGAAUAUUGGACAAGUGGGCGCAAGCCUGAUCCAGCCAUGCCGCGUGAGUGAUGAA